UCCAGGGUAGCCUAGUGGAUAUGGCAUCUGCCCGGUAAGCGGAGCAUUGUGGGUUCGAAUCCCAUCCCUGGAC
This 73-nucleotide transfer RNA is filed under the name Cordylochernes scorpioides. RNAcentral's name for it is "tRNA-Thr". It matches the Rfam family "tRNA". Rfam says of the family: Transfer RNA (tRNA) molecules are approximately 80 nucleotides in length. Lineage: Eukaryota; Metazoa; Arthropoda; Arachnida; Pseudoscorpiones; Chernetidae. The record is from RNAcentral.